Haplochromis burtoni (Burton's mouthbrooder) is the source of this 2276-nucleotide long non-coding RNA. RefSeq lists it as uncharacterized. The record is from RefSeq and is a predicted model, not a curated record. NCBI's taxonomy places the organism in Eukaryota, Metazoa, Chordata, Actinopteri, Cichliformes, Cichlidae. The transcript is spliced from 4 exons.
UUUUUUUUUUUUUUUUUUUUAAUAGAAAUACCUACCCCUCAAGAGUUAUCAUGGUUUACCUCUCCUAUAUCUUUUUCUCAGUACCUGCAGCGGAUCAGUGCAUUCUACUGAUCAGCAAGGCUAACAUCGUUCUUUUUUUAACAUGGACUUCAUGAAUGGAUAAAUUGUUUUAGAAAAGAAAAUGAAUACACAAAGCUUGACUUUUAGGAAGGUGUGAGAACGGCGCAGGAGACGUUUUACAGGUGGAAGAAACACCCACUUUCGUAGGUCAAAGGAGGCCUGUUAGAGACCCUCUAACAAGCACAAGGGUUAAUAAACUGACCACAAAAACCUCCAGAUGCAUGUGGAGAACCGGACAUGACCUGAAUAACACUGACUAUACUUACCGUUUGUCCAAAGAAAAAAAAAAAAAAAAAAAGGAAAAAAAACAAACAAACCCAAACACGUGUAUAUGCUGUUUUCAAAUGACAUAUUGCAAACUGUAUAUAUAAUGUUUUAACACAUGUUUAUCUGCACAGCCAGCACAGGACCCAUCUGCAUGAUGAAAACUUUGAUGAGCCCAUCACAUUUCUGGAAUGUUUACGCCGUAUAGAACAGGAAGAAGACAAAAAACAGGCAACUACAAUACAGGCUGUGUGUGAUAGUGGAAAGCCAGACCCCCUUUUUAGCAACUGGUCAUCUGCACCUCAGGUUUCAGGUAAAUCACUCCAUGUGCCUCUCAGCAAAAAGCCUCUUCAGCCUGGGUUAUCCUUAAAUCUAAUGGGGAUGUUGAGAGUGCCCAUUGUACAUGCAUGGCUGGUGUGGCAGAGAAAUGUGCACAUGUGGCAGUUCUCCUGUACAAAAUUGACACUGCAGUGUGUCUACAAGGGAACAUCACCUAUAGAUGUUCAUUCUUACUGGAUAAUGCUCUCAAAUGUGCAGAAAGUGCAAGGAGUCCUGGGCCACGCAAUCGACUGCACCACCAGUGCAGCAAGGAAAAGGGCACUUGACCAGUCCAUCAGUGAAGGACAAAGCAAGUGUUCUGUACCCAAAAUCUGGACAUGUACUGGUGGCAGUUCGCUAAAGCAAAGCACACUGAUUGAGUUAAAAACCUCUCACAGAUCUUUUGCAUGCACACCGGUCAGGACUGCUCUGUUUUGGAGGAAUUCUGCCACUUAUAUCCAGACCCUGUCCAGCCUUGUGUCCUCCCCAAAUCCCUUCUACAUCUCCAUGACCCACAGAUGACUGUACUUCUGGCAGCACCAUGAGCAGGCAGCGGCUGAUAGCGCUCUGGCAAAAUUCACUUUUUUCUACGGUGUAUUGUUUUGUUUGGCGACCGAGGUACGAUGGGCACCGCCUACCUACAACAGACAAUUCCUGCUCAGAAUCGGGGGGGGGGCAGAAAAAAAAAAAAAAGAAAAGCACAAUUUCCACAACUAAUCUACCGACAGCGGGGCCUACAUAAAACAGCUCUCAGAACAGCCAGAACCAACCUCUCUCGCCCCAUCCGAAAAGCAAAGCGUGCACAUGCACAGAAGAUACAGAGCCAAUUCCACAAAACAAAGGACUGUUUCUGGCAAGUUAUUCAGGCCGGAGACUUAGCGGAAAGACAGUAAAUGGUAGCAUAGAAUUUAAACAUUUUCAUCUUUUCAAGCUUCCAUUAUACCAAAUAUACCAAUCAAUUGUCAUAAAAUUAACAAUAUCUGCUUAAUCAUCUCCAAAACUGGAGGACAGUGGGGAGAGAUUAGACGUGCUCCAAGAUUACAUCGACCAGUGCUUCAAGAAUAUGAAGAAGGCCCAGAGCGCAUCUUCCCCGGCAAAAAAACGACACCCCAAUAUCAAAAAGACGUCACCCUGCAGACUCCCCUGGCGCAACAUCACCUGCCAGCAAAGACAUUGCAGACAUCCUGGAGUCAAUUGACACGCGACUGUCCAGCUUCGAUGCUAGGUCGUCCCUGGUGGAGAUUUUACAUUGAGAAUUUAAAUCUCUGAGAGAGUCCCUGAAGUUCAGCCAGCAGCAGGUGGAAAUGCUUGCUGACGAAAACGCCACGUUACGGGUGUCGGUCAAGUCUCUUACGGAGAAUGCGACCAAACAUCACAGAAAAUUAACAAAAAAAAAAAAAAAAAAAAAAAAAAAAAAAAGCAGCAUGAGAGAUAACGGUUUUCUGGUAUCACAGCAUCUGCUGGCGAGGUCGUGGAAGAAACAGUGAGAGGCUUCAUUAAAAGCACAUUGUAGCGUUUUGUGGGAAUUUGCAUAAUUAUGAUUAAGGAACUGACCUCCCAGCCCACUGUUCCUU